This is a long non-coding RNA of Calliphora vicina (urban bluebottle blowfly), 885 nucleotides long. RefSeq lists it as uncharacterized. The record is from RefSeq and is a predicted model, not a curated record. The transcript has 3 exons. Lineage: Eukaryota; Metazoa; Arthropoda; Insecta; Diptera; Calliphoridae.
UCAUUAGGUAGGGUUGUAUUUUUUUAGUAGUUUUUAGUAUGGUAAAGCUACCAGAUGUAAUGGUCAUGAGGCGAAAUAUUUCCAAAUUAAGAGAAAAUUAAUUUUCUCUCUAGAUUUGGAAAAUGCAAGGCCAUCGGAAAAGUACAUUGACCUUCUUUUAUAUGUUAUUUCGUGUACUUGUGUGUUGUGUAUUUGUUAUGUUAUUAACCGGUAUAUGUUUUUUUAUUAUAGUAUUUGUUUUUUUUUAUUUGUUAUUGCAAUUGAUUUGCACUGAGGACUUAGCGUAGCUUCAAUAUACUUAGAAUAUUUAAUAUUAAAGUGGCAGACGUUUAGUCAAGUUCAUUUUACGAACAAAUUUGAGUUCAGAUUGUGAAUAAUAUUAUUAAAGGAAAAUAAUAUCAAUCUUUUGAUUUUUGUGUUUCUGAAAUUAAACAUACAAUUUGGAAUAGGAAUAUUGAAAAUAUUUCAAGAAAAUUAUUAAACAAAUUUGUGAAGAGUAAAGAUAAACAGUGAUUGGACCAGAACUGAUUCUUGGAACCAUCUUAGAGUCAUCAACGGGUAGUGCAGAACCAAUUUUUAUAAAGUGGCAGCACAACCAAUAUAUUACAAACUGGGUGACCCUAGGUUGGAAAAAGCUUUCAUUGUGCAGAAGUAAAAGCUCUGUACAAGAAGUAAAAGCUCUCUCCAAGAAUUUGUAUUUAGCAAGAGUCUGAACCCAAGAAAAUAAGUCUUAACUGUGGAGGGAACGGAAAUCCCAGUUGGAAAUUUUAGAAGAAAAGGGAGGCAAACGUAUUGUUCUCAGUGGCUGUAGGGAUUAGGUUAAAGUUAGGAAUUACUUUUAAGAAAUCUUAGAAAAUUAUAUUUUAAACCUAUUAGAUUAAGUUU